GCUGAGGACCCAAAGCUGGCAGCUGCUCCAAGGCCAGUAGGAUUGGUCUCUGGUCGACUACCAUACCUUCCAUGCAUCUGAAACAUACCAUGGGACUCCUCAUGCAAUGGAGCUGCUGGCCUGCCAAGCUCCCAAUCUCCAUGCGCAAAACGACACUGGUCACCAAAUUUGCAGCCUUCAGCAGUGUUGAAUUUGGUGCAUAGACGAGUCUUAACAACUGGGGAAGAUGAUCCAUCAGGGAAAGAUGGCGGAGCUAUUGAAUUCCUAGGAGCUGCUGGAAGGGCUGGGUUGCUACCAAGCAUCUGAGUCACAGCUUUAAGGCCUCCAGGCACAUAGUGCAAGAAGUGGCAUCCUUCACCAAAUGGACAUCCCGAAAAACUGAAAAACUUAGUGCACGGCUUCGAUUUGCUUCCUAUACCA
Molecule: unclassified non-coding RNA, 420 nt
Filed under: Hevea brasiliensis (rubber tree)
Lineage: Eukaryota; Viridiplantae; Streptophyta; Magnoliopsida; Malpighiales; Euphorbiaceae
Source: RNAcentral